Molecule: ribosomal RNA, 492 nt
Filed under: uncultured bacterium
Lineage: Bacteria
Description: partial 16S ribosomal RNA
Rfam family: Bacterial small subunit ribosomal RNA
Source: RNAcentral
AGUGAACGCUGGCGGUAGGCCUAACACAUGCAAGUCGAACGGCAGCACAGUAAGAGCUUGCUCUUACGGGUGGCGAGUGGCGGACGGGUGAGGAAUACAUCGGAAUCUACUUUUUCGUGGGGGAUAACGUAGGGAAACUUACGCUAAUACCGCAUACGACCUACGGGUGAAAGCAGGGGAUCUUCGGACCUUGCGCGAUUGAAUGAGCCGAUGUCGGAUUAGCUAGUUGGCGGGGUAAAGGCCCACCAAGGCGACGAUCCGUAGCUGGUCUGAGAGGAUGAUCAGCCGCACUAGAGGUUAAACACGCUCCAGAGUCCUACGGUAGGCAGCAGUGGGGAAUAUUGGACAGUGGGCGCAAGCAUGAUCCAGCCAUACCGCGUGGGUGAAGAAGGCCUUCGGGUUGUAAAGCCCUUUUGUUGGGAAAGAAAAGCAGCAGGUUAAUACCCCGCUGUUCUGACGGUACCCAAAGAAUAAGCACCGGCUAACUUCGUG